CAAUGCUGGCAACAGCGAUAAGGGAACCUCGAGUGCCAGGUUACAAAUCUGGCUGUCGAGAUGCCUAAAAAGCAUUUCAUAGCAAGGGCCGGGCAAGACCGGUGCCAGCCGCCGCGGUAACACCGGCGGCUCGAGUGGUAACCGUUAUUAUUGGGUCUAAAGGGUCUGUAGCCGGCCGGAUAAGUCUCUUGAGAAAUCUGGCAGCUUAACUGUCAGGCUUUCAGGAGAUACUGUCUGGCUCGAGGCCGGGAGAGGUGAGAGGUACUUCAGGGGUAGGGGUGAAAUCUUGUAAUCCUUGAAGGACCACCAGUGGCGAAGGCGUCUCACCAGAACGGACCUGACGGCAAGGGACGAAAGCUAGGGGCACGAACCGGAUUAGAUACCCGGGUAGUCCUAGCCGUAAACGAUACUCGCUAGGUGUCGGCCACGGUGCGACCGUUGUCGGUGCCGUAGGGAAGCCGU
Molecule: ribosomal RNA, 462 nt
Filed under: uncultured archaeon
Lineage: Archaea
Description: bacterial SSU rRNA
Rfam family: Archaeal small subunit ribosomal RNA
Source: RNAcentral